Long non-coding RNA from Micropterus dolomieu (smallmouth bass), 793 nucleotides. RefSeq lists it as uncharacterized. Lineage: Eukaryota; Metazoa; Chordata; Actinopteri; Centrarchiformes; Centrarchidae. The transcript is spliced from 2 exons. The record is from RefSeq and is a predicted model, not a curated record.
UGGGUUACGCUGUAAACUAUCUUCCGCUGUUUUGUUAACUUGUAGCCGUCUCAAUGGAUGAUCAAAGAAAAAGGAAAGGAAAUUUCACCGACAUUGAGAUACGAAAGUUAAUUGAGCUGUACAGUCAGCACAGACACACACUGACUGCCAAGCAAUCAAACUCAAUAACGAACAAGAAGAAACAAACAACAUGGAAACAGAUAACGGAGGCGAUUAACGAUUGCUCUGACUCCGGCUGCCUUCGGACAGAGAGCGAUGUGAGGAAAAGUGGAAAGACCUCCUGAGCAAAGCAAAAAAAGAUUUGUCUUUUGAGAGGAUUCCCCGGCUUUUAUUGGUUUGGUCGGUGCGGAAAGUGGCGGUACCGAUCUGGAAGAAACUGCUGUCUCUCCAGAGAUGGAUGUCGACCACUCAAGCGAGAGUGUGAAUUGUGAAAGACUCGAUGGAGGCCCAAGUCACUCCACAAAAUACUCAUGAAGGCAGCAGCGGUGCACCGCUGGUGAAAUGGAGGAGGAGGCUGGAAGAUCUGCAGCAGACACUUCUUGAAAAAGAAAUUGUUAGAGUGGAGGCUGAAACAAAGAAAUUACAGGCAGAGCAGGAAAAGCUGGAACUUGAAAAAAAAAAAAAAUCAUUAGAAAUACAGUUGCUCCAACAACAGAUAAGCAGGUCAUCUUCGCCUAUUUCUGAAGAGGAUGGGCAGUCUUUUGUAAUUCUGUAAAUAAGCCUAAUGGCAAAUUGUGUGCAAUGAAUCAAUGACAAUUAUAUGUAAAUUAAAAAAGAGUUUAUUAUAAACCUA